GACAGAGGGUGCAAACGUUGCUCGGAAUCACUGGGCGUAAAGGGAGUGUAGGCGGCUUGUUAAGUCUUCUGUGAAAUCUACGGGCUCAGCCUGUAACGUGCAGAGGAAACUGGCGAGCUUGAGUGUCGGAGAGGAUAGGGGAAUACCCGGUGUAGAGGUGAAAUUCGUAGAGAUCGGGUGGAACACCAGUGGCGAAGGCGCCUAUCUGGCUGACAACUGACGCUGAGACUCGAAAGCAUGGGGAGCAAACAGG
This 253-nucleotide ribosomal RNA is filed under the name uncultured bacterium. RNAcentral's name for it is "partial 16S ribosomal RNA". It matches the Rfam family "Bacterial small subunit ribosomal RNA", at positions 524 to 776 of the family's 1533-position model. The record is from RNAcentral.